RNAcentral lists this ribosomal RNA (551 nucleotides) under uncultured Acaulosporaceae. RNAcentral describes it as "SSU rRNA". It matches the Rfam family "Eukaryotic small subunit ribosomal RNA", at positions 548 to 1098 of the family's 1831-position model. The record is from RNAcentral. Lineage: Eukaryota; Fungi; Glomeromycota; Glomeromycetes; Diversisporales; Acaulosporaceae.
UUGGAGGGCAAGUCUGGUGCCAGCAGCCGCGGUAAUUCCAGCUCCAAUAGCGUAUAUUAAAGUUGUUGCAGUUAAAAAGCUCGUAGUUGAAUUUCGGAGUUUGUCGGUCGGUCGGGCUUCACUGUCCGCACUGGCCUGAUGGAUUCCUACCUUCUGAAUAACCAGCAUGCUAUUAAGUUAGUGCGUUGGGGAAGCAGAGCUAUUACCUUGAAAAAAUUAGAGUGCUUAAAGCAGGCUUAUGCUUGAAUAGAUUAGCAUGGAAUAAUAAAAUAGGACGGCAUGGUUCUAUUUUGUUGGUUUCUAGGACCACCGUAAUGAUUAAUAGGGAUAGUUGGGGGCAUUAGUAUUCAAUUGCCAGAGGUGAAAUUCUUGGAUUUAUUGAAGACUAACUUCUGCGAAAGCAUUUGCCAAGGAUGUUUUCAUUAAUCAAGAACGAAAGUUAGGGGAUCGAAGACGAUCAGAUACCGUCGUAGUCUUAACCAUAAACUAUGCCGACUAGGGAUCGGACGAUGUUAAUUUUUUAAUGACUCGUUCGGCGCCUUACGGGAAAC